UAUUGGGCGUAAGCGCGCGCAGGCGGUUCCUUAAGUCUGAUGUGAAAUCUCCCCUUUCAACCGCGAGCGGCCAUUGGAACUGGGGAACUUGAGUGCAGGAGAGGGGAGCGGAAUUCCACGUGUAGCGGUGAGAUGCGUAGAGAUGUGGAGGAACACCAGUGGCGAAGGCGGCUCUCUGGUCUGUAACUGACGCUGAGGCGCGAAAGCGUGGGAGCGAACA
This 220-nucleotide ribosomal RNA is filed under the name uncultured Bacillota bacterium. RNAcentral's name for it is "uncultured Firmicutes bacterium partial 16S ribosomal RNA". It matches the Rfam family "Bacterial small subunit ribosomal RNA", at positions 552 to 774 of the family's 1533-position model. Lineage: Bacteria; Bacillati; Bacillota. The record is from RNAcentral.